RNAcentral lists this ribosomal RNA (525 nucleotides) under uncultured bacterium. RNAcentral's name for it is "bacterial SSU rRNA". It matches the Rfam family "Bacterial small subunit ribosomal RNA", at positions 984 to 1509 of the family's 1533-position model. The record is from RNAcentral.
ACAUCCAGCGAACUUGGCAGAGAUGCCUUGGUGCCUUCGGGAACGCUGAGACAGGUGCUGCAUGGCUGUCGUCAGCUCGUGUUGUGAAAUGUUGGGUUAAGUCCCGNAACGAGCGCAACCCUUAUCCUUUGUUGCCAGCGAUUCGGUCGGGAACUCAAAGGAGACUGCCGGUGAUAAACCGGAGGAAGGUGGGGAUGACGUCAAGUCAUCAUGGCCCUUACGAGUAGGGCUACACACGUGCUACAAUGGCGCAUACAAAGAGAAGCGACCUCGCGAGAGCAAGCGGACCUCAUAAAGUGCGUCGUAGUCCGGAUCGGAGUCUGCAACUCGACUCCGUGAAGUCGGAAUCGCUAGUAAUCGUGGAUCAGAAUGCCACGGUGAAUACGUUCCCGGGCCUUGUACACACCGCCCGUCACACCAUGGGAGUGGGUUGCAAAAGAAGUAGGUAGCUUAACCUUCGGGAGGGCGCUUACCACCUUGUGAUUCAUGACUGGGGUGAAGUCGUAACAAGGUAGGCGUAGCGAG